This 3909-nucleotide unclassified non-coding RNA is filed under the name Leishmania donovani. Its description in RNAcentral is "gene:LdHU3.21.0410(CDS-product:Vps51/Vps67/Protei n_of_unknown_function_N-inal_domain_(DUF2450)/Dor1-like_fam ily/Exocyst_complex_component_Sec5_putative)". The record is from RNAcentral. Lineage: Eukaryota; Euglenozoa; Kinetoplastea; Trypanosomatida; Trypanosomatidae.
CCCAUGCACAGCCCGUUGUUUCUGUCACUCAGCCCAGCUCCACCCCCUCGCACUCUCCCGAAAUCCGCGUCGAUGCAUCCCAGCAGCGCUGGUGGCGGCAAUGCCGAGGAACGUCGGCAGCGCCUGCGCGAGCAGAUGAAGGCCUUCUACGGCGACCCGAGCGCCUCCGCGAAGCGAACGCCGUCGCACGCGUCCACGCAGGGCAACCCCAACGUGCCACCAGAGCUCGACUUAGACUCGGAGUACUUCAACGUGAACCGCUACACCACCGAUCUGCUGAAGCGCGAGAGUCUUAAAGGAUUGGUCGAGACGGACACGGAGCUGCUGCGCCGCGUACGCCGUCUGGAUGGGGAGCUGCAGGAGCUCGUGUACCGCAACUACGCUCGCUUCAUCUCCGCGACCGAGACGAUUCGGGAGAUGAAGAACAACGUAGUCGAGAUGGACGCGAAGCUGCAGACCCUCUCGCAGAACGUCAACACGAUUGAUAGCAUCUCGAGCCAGAUCAGCCAGCAGCUGCAGGUGCACCGCGGCCACAUUGAGGACACUAUCACUGCGAAUCGCAUGCUCAAGAAGGUGCAGUUUCUCACCAGCCUGCCUACCACGAUGCGCCGGCUCAUCGACAAGGAGGAGUACAGCGUCGGCGUCAAGUACUGGGUGGCUGGCGACGGCUUUCUGUCGAAGCACAAGUCGAUCUCGAGCAUCACACAGAUUCAGGAGAGCUGCUGCGAGCUCGCCAGGGAGCUCUACCGCGCGAUCGAGACGCGCAUGUGCUCCUACCCGCUCGACGACCCUGAUGCGAUGGACCGCCUUCGCGGCUACGUCGAGGACCUGCGCCUCCUGCGCGCCACCUCGCUCUUUGAGUCGGAGAACGUGGCCGAUGAGGCGCCGUUCGAGGCUGCGGUGUUGCAGACCCUCAUGAAGAGCGUCACAGCGAGCUUCCAGGCGAACGUGGCGACUACGCAGCGCAGCCUCAAGGCCGCCCUCGUCAUCCCAGACGACCUCCAGGCCUCCGAAAUGGCGAAGCGGGAGGCGUCGCUGGCACAGGUGAACCUACGCGAGCCGCUGGCACAGCUCAAGAACGCGUGCGCGAUGCUCGCCGUCAACUCGGAGCGCGUGCACGCCCUGCUGGAUGUGGAGGUGUGCAGCAGUAGUGGCAGCAGUCCUGCCGCGCCCCUCGUCGCCAAGUCAAUCGAGCCGGUCCUCCUCGAGGUGCUCCAGCCCAUCUCCCAGUCGCUCGCGGACUUCGCGAUGGUGCACCUGGACGCGAUGGCGAUGGACGGCGCAUUGGCGCUCCGCGACCCCACAGCAAGCGCGGAGGCGCUGCAGGCAGCCACGGUGCACCUCACUCGCUUGCUGAAGCAGCUUGUCACGGCCAUGAAGACGCUGGGUGAGAUCUAUCUUCCUUCCGUGGAGCAUGGUACUGCUGGGGCGAGUGGUAGCGCCGUUCCCGCCGCCCACGACGUCGUGCAGCUGUACGCAAGCAAGGUUCACGAGGUGGCGUGUGGCGUGGUGCGUCAGUGUUGGGAGAAGAUACAGACGAAGCUGCUACAAGGGCCGGAGCCAGAGCUACUCAGGGCGUGUGUGCCGCUUCCCAUACCGAAUUCCAGCGUACUCAGUACGCUACCGGCCGUCGACGAGGAGCGCGCCCGCGAGAUGGCCUUUGUUCUGACUCGCUUCCUCUACGCCUCGUUGGCGCAGUGCCUGUCCACCUCCCUCGGUGCCAACCUCGUCGGCGAAGAGGGCGUGCCGGCGGAGAUGCUGACGCCGAUUACGGCAGGGCUGGAGCAGACGGCGCAGCAGCUUCAGCACCGCGGUAUCGUGCUGCUGGGUCAGUCAGAGGUGCAGCAAGUGUACGACAAGGCAUUCAGUGGCAGCAGCGGGUAUGCCAGCGCAGCGGCGACGACGACCGGGCCGACAGUGCAGGAGGCACUGCUCCUGCUGCUGCCCCAGUGGUCCACCAUGUACGACGCCCUCAAGGCGCUGCCGCCUGUGAAGGCGGCGAGCGCGACGGAGGCCACCAAGGCGGGGGAUGGUGCGUCGUCUCCGCUGAACCGUCGCCGUGACAACAGCGGCUACGGCGGCGGCAAUGCAUACCGCGUGGGUGGGGGCAACAACAUCGGCGCGUACAGCGACGGCACCGGUGGGGGCGGCAGCACUGGUACUCGCAGCGACCACCGCACCGGCGGCGGCAGCGCGAUGGUUGGCGGCUUCUCUCCCCACCCGCGCGGGGGCAGCGGCGGCAGCAAGCCGGCGGUUUCCUACACGCGUCAGGUGAUGUCCACGCUGCAGAUGAGCGUGAACCACAUCUUCGCAAACACGGAUACGUGGCUGCGCACGGAGCCGGUAGCCGGACCGCCGUCGGCGCUGAUGGCGUGCGUCGUGCGCUACGUGCUGCAAGGCAUUCUCGACCGAGUGCGCGACGAGGUGGCCUAUACCGAGGCGCAGUUCCAGCAGUUGCAGGUGAGCUGCACCUUCCUCCUCUACGCCCUCGUAUCACCCGCGAAGGGAUCGGCCCCACGACAGUGGCGCAAGGAGUGGUCGGAGGACGACAUGCGCGAUGUGCAGCGGCUGCUGGACGAGAUCUGCACAUGCGCCUACGACAAGUACGAAGCGAAGGUGCCCCUCUCUACCGCCGUGCUCGACCGAGUCGUCGAGGCCGCCGUGCGUGGCAGUCGAGCCGCACAGGAAUCUGUGAGCAUGAACAGCACCGGCACUGCUAUGGAGACCGGGGCACCAAUGCCUCCUGCCACGACGGUGGCCUUGCGAAGGGAAGAAACGAAGGUUCCUUUACUGGAGCCAUCGCAGCAGGCGCCAGCCACCCCUGCUCACGUCACCCUGCAGCCUCAGCCUCAGCAGCAGCCGCAGGAGGUGUGCCGCCCUCUGCACGAUGGCUCGCUGCAGUCGUCGGCCGCAGCGUCGUCGAAGGAGGCCCCUCCCAGCGCAGCUGCUCCAGCCCCAAACCCGUCGGAUGCCACACCGCCACCGAAGCCCCCUGCCGCCACGUCAGCGCCAACGGCGUCUGCUGCUGCACCCCCACCCGCAUCGGUCACCCCUUCCCCAGCAUCGCCGCCGAUCUCGUCGACUGCUCCCGUGCAAACCUCUGUGGCGCGUCCCUCGGCACCACGGACCGCGCCCGUGGCGUCUCUUCAGCCUGCUGCCGCAGCGCCGGCGGCAGCCAUGUCGCCGCCACAAGUGCGUCGCUCCUCGCACUACAGCAACGAUAGCCACACAGAACGCCUCGCGCGCUUGGAAGAAGAGGAAGAGCUGCCAUUGUAGCACGAAGGAUAUAGUACCGGGCGCAGCUGUGUGUGGCGAGUGAGGCGCGCAGGUGUCGGGCGAGAGGGGCACCCAUACAAGCCCGACUCGGUGGUUCUUGCAUCGCCACGUAGUGGCGGCGGUCGUCGUCGGCGUCGUAGCGCGUGGGCUGGAGCGUGGGCGGUAAGAUGACGUCUUGUAUUUGCUUUCACGGUGCCCCUCUAUUUUCCACCCACCCCUGUGCGUGCGCACAUGUUGGUCUGCGUCCCAUGUGGCAUGGGCUUGGGCUUGGGCUUGGGCUGGUUGCUUGCCUCUCCUGCUACGACCACUUCUCUCGCUCAUCCACACCGUCCCGGUCGCGUGGCGGCCGUGGGGCGUAUUUUCCUUGCAUUUAGCGUUGUCCGCCGUUCUCGUGUCGUCGCGUCUCUCUCCCUCCUUCGGGCUACCGGCUCUGUCCUGUGAGUAGAGCGGGAGGGAGGGGGGUAGAUUCAGGAUGGUGGCAGACGGUCGAGGGCGUGACGCCCGUGUCCGCAUGCCGCUGCGUCUCUCUCAAAGGGUGUGAGAAUGGUCAGCGCCCUCACGUUGCAUCUCUCUGCAUCCGUGCGCACGUUUGCCGGCCUAAAGGACGCGAGCCCGCGUACGAGCACACGCCAC